UACGUAGGGCGUGAGCGUUGUCCGGAAUUAUUGGGCGUAAAGAGCUCGUAGGCGGCCUGUUGCGUCUGCUGUGAAAUCCCGGGGCUUAACCCCGGGCGUGCAGUGGAUACGGGCAGGCUGGAGGCAGGCAGGGGAGAAUGGAAUUCCCGGUGUAGCGGUGAAAUGCGCAGAUAUCAGGAGGAACACCGGUGGCGAAGGCGGGUCUCUGGGCCGUAACUGACGCUGAGGAGCGAAAGCGUGGGGAGCGAACAGG
This 253-nucleotide ribosomal RNA is filed under the name uncultured bacterium. Its description in RNAcentral is "partial 16S ribosomal RNA". It matches the Rfam family "Bacterial small subunit ribosomal RNA", at positions 524 to 776 of the family's 1533-position model. The record is from RNAcentral.